Passer domesticus (house sparrow) is the source of this 870-nucleotide long non-coding RNA. RefSeq lists it as uncharacterized. The record is from RefSeq and is a predicted model, not a curated record. NCBI's taxonomy places the organism in Eukaryota, Metazoa, Chordata, Aves, Passeriformes, Passeridae. The transcript is spliced from 3 exons.
UGCUUGCAUAGAAAAUGUACAUUAGAUAUCCAUCAGUGAGAUGCUGAAAGAAAAAUAUUUGGUUCCUAAUAUUUUGCUUAGUUGGCUCUAAUAUGCAGAAGUUCUAGCUAGCAGUAAAUCUCAAUGGAUCAAACAAACUAUGAGCAUCCUGAUCACAUCUCUUCACUGCUCCUGUGCAGUGCUGGUAGAUGAGAGAGGUGCUCUGGACUUCUGCCAAGAUGUUUCAUUCUCCCAUUCCACUUUUGCAUCUCAGAUCACAGAAAUAAAUGAAAUAAUAAGUCUCCUUAGAGUGGAAAGAAGAACUUUUUCAUAUGCAGGGAAGCUUCAGAGAGCAUGCAUGAAACUUAGAGCAGCUGUCCAGGCAGUCUACAGAUUUGAGAACCAGCAGUGAGACUCAUUCAAAAGAUAACUUACAAAGACUUUUCUAAGUCAUACACAGGGAAACUUUGAUCAGAGAGGAGGAUCAAGGUAAUAAUAAGUAGGAUGAACUCUGGGUAUAAGGAACUGAUGAGAUUGCCAGGCAAAAAGCAAAAAGAGAGAAAAAAACCCACUAAAAGUGCUUCAAUGAAAUUCUGAAUUUGGAUUAGGAAGACUAAAUCGUCUUCAACUUAAAAUCCUCCAAAAGCAUUUUGUAUGUCAUCACUCCAUCUUGAUUUUUCCCUUGUGGAAGUAAUAAGAGCAAUAUCCUGUUCUUCUGUUUGUAAGUUUUGUUUCAAAUAUAAAGCAAAUGCCAAAUAUCUGCAGCAUGCUAGUGAAGCAGUAGCAAGCUAAAAAAAUUAAUUAGUGCCCAAACAAGCAGGUCUCAAAAAUCCUAGCUGCAUGUAGACAGACUUUGGUAUCUAGUCCUGGGCUCUAGUAAAAACAUCUGAG